This 238-nucleotide ribosomal RNA is filed under the name uncultured Glomeromycotina. RNAcentral's name for it is "partial 18S ribosomal RNA". The stretch from base 46 to 238 matches the Rfam family "Eukaryotic small subunit ribosomal RNA", at positions 693 to 887 of the family's 1831-position model. The record is from RNAcentral. Lineage: Eukaryota; Fungi; Glomeromycota.
AGAUCAAAUUGUUGGUCGUGCCUCGGUACGUACUGGCAUUAUUGGUUUCUCCCUUCUGAAGAACCUUGAUGUCAUUAAUUUGGUGUCUUGGGGAAUCAGGACUGUUACUUUGAAAAAAUUAGAGUGUUUAAAGCAGGCUCGCGCUUGAAUACAUUAGCAUGGAAUAAUGAAAUAGGACGUUUGAUUCUAUUUUGUUGGUUUCUAGGAUCGACGUAAUGAUUAAUAGGGAUAGUUGGGC